GAUGAACGCUGGCGGCGUGCCUAACACAUUCAAGUCGAACGGGUGAAGGGACUUCGGUCCCGGAUCAGUGGCGGACGGGUGAGUAACGCGUGAGCAACCUGCCUUGCUUGGGGGAUAACAACUGGAAACGGUUGCUAAUACCGCACUAAUGUAGCGACUUUGCAUGGAGAUGCUACCAAAGAUCUAUUGAGCAAAGAUGGGCUCGCGUCCGAUUAGAUAGUUGGUGAGGUAACGGCUCACCAAGUCGACGAUCAGUAGCCGGACUGAGAGGUUGAACGGCCACAUUGGAACUGAGAUACGGUCCAGACUCCUACGGGAGGCAGCAGUGGGGAAUAUUGGGCAAUGGGCGAAAGCCUGACCCAGCGACGCCGCGUGAAGGAAGACGGUUUUCGGAUUGUAAACCUCUGUCUUU
This 412-nucleotide ribosomal RNA is filed under the name uncultured bacterium. Its description in RNAcentral is "bacterial SSU rRNA". It matches the Rfam family "Bacterial small subunit ribosomal RNA", at positions 28 to 440 of the family's 1533-position model. The record is from RNAcentral.